RNAcentral lists this ribosomal RNA (486 nucleotides) under uncultured bacterium. RNAcentral's name for it is "partial 16S ribosomal RNA". It matches the Rfam family "Bacterial small subunit ribosomal RNA", at positions 28 to 507 of the family's 1533-position model. The record is from RNAcentral.
GAUGAACGCUGGCGGCGUGCCUAAUACAUGCAAGUCGAACGCUGGAGAUCUAGCUUGCUAGGUCGCAGGAGUGGCGAACGGGUGAGUAAUACAUAAGCAACCUACCCACGACGACUGGGAUAAUCUCUGGAAACGGGGAUUAAUACCGGAUAGUUAAUCGGAAGGCAUGUUCUGGUUAUUAAAUGUUAAAAACACUGGUUGGUGGGCUUGUGGCGCAGUAGUUAGUUGGUGAGGUACCGGCCCACCGAGUCGAUGAUUCGUAGCCGGCCUGAGAGGGUGAGCGGCCACAGUGUGACCGAGAAAAGGGCCAGAGUGCUACGGGAGGCAGCAGUAGGGAAUUUUCGGCAAUGGGGGAAAGCCUGACCGGGCGACGCCGGGUGAGUGAAGACGGCGUUCGGGUUGUAAAGCUCUGUUGUAAGGGAAGAACGGUAGAUAGAGAAUAUCUAAGUGACGGUACCUUACAAGAAAGCAACGGCUAACUACGUG